Molecule: ribosomal RNA, 468 nt
Filed under: uncultured bacterium
Lineage: Bacteria
Description: partial 16S ribosomal RNA
Rfam family: Bacterial small subunit ribosomal RNA
Source: RNAcentral
GACGAACGCUGGCGGCGUGCUUAACACAUGCAAGUCGAACGGAAAGGCCCUGCUUUUGUGGGGUGCUCGAGUGGCGAACGGGUGAGUAACACGUGAGUAACCUGCCCUUGACUUUGGGAUAACUUCAGGAAACCGGGGCUAAUACCGGAUAGGAUCUCCUGCUGCAUUGUUGGGGUUGGAAAGUUUCGGAGGUGGGGGAUGGACUCGGGGCUUAUCAGCUUGUUGGUGGGGUGGUGGCUGACCAAGGGUUUGACGGGUAGCCGGCUUGAGAGGGUGACCGGGCACAUUGGGACUGAGAUACGGCCCGGACUCCUACGGGAGGCAGCAGUGGGGAAUAUUGCACAAUGGGCGGAAGCCUGAUGCAGCAACGCCGCGUGCGGGAUGACAGCCUUCGGGUUGUAAGCCGCUUGCGACUGUGACGAAGCGUGAAUGACGGUAAUGGGUAAAGAAGCACCGGCUAACUACGUG